RNAcentral lists this long non-coding RNA (1222 nucleotides) under Macaca mulatta (Rhesus monkey). Its description in RNAcentral is "lncRNA (ENSMMUG00000056368.1)". The record is from RNAcentral. Lineage: Eukaryota; Metazoa; Chordata; Mammalia; Primates; Cercopithecidae.
CAAAUGGCUCAUCCUUCUGGAACCAGCUAGGCAGCCUUUCUUUGUUCACAAGCACCUGAUUCUAUUAUUUUCCAGGAACAAAGAACUAAACUUGAUGGCCAAGUUUGCUCCUCAGAUUAUUAACAUCCUAGUAACUGUUUACUUUGCAUGCCUAGUACUCACCCAGAAUGCAAGACUGGCCCAGAACAGCUGGGACUUCAUUUUUUAAAAUCUAUGUGCCCUUGGCUUCCACUUCCAGAGCUCUCUGGGGGAAAUGGCUGAGCUUUUGGAAGUCUAUACUAGAUGACAGGGCAUGAAGUUUGUGUGAGGGACUAUUUUGUCAAAUUAUUGUGGCUGUCGCUUUCAAGUUAUGAUUCAGAACUGAAAAGUCAGGUUCCUUUUGAAAAUCAGUGAAACUACAUGCUCUAGCAUAAAGCAAACAGUGAAGAAGACAAAUUCAAAAUUGGAAUUCAAAAUUCCAACACUCAGUAAGACAUACGCCAGAAAUUAGUCAUAUUUGUGUUAAUGCUAAAUAAAUAAUAGUACUCUGGUAUUGAAUUAAGAUUGUACUUUAUAGGGUAUUUUUUCUCUUACAAACAGGGGGCACUCUUAACUGGCCAAUUUAUGUUCUAAAAAAACCCCAAUGACUAAUGCUUAGGUUGUAUUUACACAGCACUUUUGACUCAACUCUUUCAUUCAAAACAGAUUUGUGUUGGCCCCGUCCACAACAUUAGCUACGAGGUCUCUCUGCUGCCGAAUGUAACUGACAUCUCCAAACUCCACCAUGACCAAAAAUAAAUCAAGACAAACCUACAACCACCACCAUGGAAACAGACAACCAAUGAGCUGAAGAGAUGAGCAAAAUUCAACUGCUCCAAAAUGAUAGUGGAUCAUCUACUGGGCACCGACCACAUGCCAGGCAUAACCGUGGGAUCCAGGCAGACAAUAGGGAACUGUAAAAUGCCCUGUCUUCAGAGAAGACAAAUGCCAGGAGAUGGGAAGAGCUAAGAUGGAGGAUGAUCAGGUGAGUGUGGAGAGGUUACAGCCCCAGCGUGUGGUCUCCUGGAAUGGCCAGGAAGGCCUCUCUGAUGAAGUUUAAGCUGAGACCUGAAAGGAGUGAGGAGCUACAGGAGUGGCUGGGGAAGGAGUGUCCAGGCCUUCAGCAGGACUGAGGUUGGCUUGUAUGUGUAUAAAUAUAUACAUAAGUGUGUGUGUGUAUAAGUCAAUAUAGAUAUAUAAGUUG